CGCCUUGCCAGCCCGCUCAGAAACUUAAAUGAAUUGACGGGGGCCCGCACAAGCGGUGGAGCAUGUGGUUUAAUUCGAUGAUACGCGAGGAACCUUACCUGGGCUCAAAUGUAUGUUGACGUAUUCUGAAAGGGAUACUUCUUCGGACAAUAUACAAGGUGCUGCAUGGUUGUCGUCAGCUCGUGCCGUGAGGUGUCGGGUUAAGUCCCAUAACGAGCGCAACCCCUACUGCUAGUUGCCAGCGGGUCAUGCCGGGGACUCUAGCGGAACUGCCAGCGUAAGCUGCGAGGAAGGUGGGGAUGACGUCAAAUCAGCACGGCCCUUACGUCCAGGGCUACACACGUGUUACAAUGGCCAGUACAGAGGGCAGCCACCCCGCGAGGGGGCGCUAAUCCUAAAAGCUGGUCCCAGUUCGGAUCGGAGUCUGCAACCCGACUCCGUGAAGCUGGAUUCGCUAGUAAUCGCGCAUCAGCCACGGCGCGGUGAAUACGUUCCCGGGCCUU
RNAcentral lists this ribosomal RNA (503 nucleotides) under uncultured Bacteroidota bacterium. RNAcentral describes it as "bacterial SSU rRNA". It matches the Rfam family "Bacterial small subunit ribosomal RNA", at positions 903 to 1382 of the family's 1533-position model. Lineage: Bacteria; Pseudomonadati; Bacteroidota. The record is from RNAcentral.